This 495-nucleotide ribosomal RNA is filed under the name uncultured bacterium. RNAcentral describes it as "bacterial SSU rRNA". It matches the Rfam family "Bacterial small subunit ribosomal RNA", at positions 791 to 1288 of the family's 1533-position model. The record is from RNAcentral.
UAGUCCACGCCGUAAACGAUGAGAACUAGAUGUCGGGAGGGAUUAGCCUCUCGGUGUCGCAGCUAACGCGUUAAGUUCUCCGCCUGGGGAGUACGGUGGCAACACUAAAACUCAAAGGAAUUGACGGGGACCCGCACAAGCGGUGGAGCAUGUGGUUUAAUUCGAUGCAACGCGAAGAACCUUACCUGCCCUUGACAUUGACAGAACCCUCUAGAGAUAGAGGGGUGCUUCGGCCUGGAAAACAGGUGCAGCAUGGCUGUCGUCAGCUCGUGUCGUGAGAUGUUGGGUUAAGUCCCGCAACGAGCGCAACCCUUAUCCCUAGUUGCCAGCACAUAAUGUUGGGCACUCUAGCGAGACUGCCGGUGAUAAGCCGGAGGAAGGCGGGGAUGACGUCAAGUCCUCAUGGCCCUUAUGGGCUGGGCUACACACGUGCUACAAUGGCAGUGACAGAGGGACGCUACCUCGCGAGAGGAUGCAAAUCUCAAAAAGCUGUCU